RNAcentral lists this ribosomal RNA (460 nucleotides) under uncultured bacterium. RNAcentral describes it as "partial 16S ribosomal RNA". It matches the Rfam family "Bacterial small subunit ribosomal RNA", at positions 338 to 795 of the family's 1533-position model. The record is from RNAcentral.
CCUACGGGAGGCUGCAGUGAGGAAUAUUGGUCAAUGGGCGGAAGCCUUAACCAGCCAAGUAGCGUGCAGGAUGACGGCCCUACGGGUUGUAAACUGCUUUUAUACGGGAAUAACGCGCCUUACGUGUAGGGCUUUGCAUGUACCGUAUGAAUAAGCACCGGCUAAUUCCGUGCCAGCAGCCGCGGUAAUACGGACGGUCCGGGCGUUAUCCGGAUUUAUUGGGUUUAACGGGUGCGUAGGCCGCAUUUCAAGCGUGCUGUUAAAUGUCCGGGGUCAAACCGGGACUUGCAGCGCGAACUGGAGUGCUUGAGUGCGCGGAAAGCAGGCGGAAUUCGUGGUGUAGCGGUGAAAUGCUUAGAUAUGACGAAGAACCCCGAUUGCGAAGGCAGCUUGCUGGAGCGGAACUGACGCUGAUGCUCGAAAGCGCGGGUAUCGAACAGGAUUAGAUACCCGAGUAGUC